RNAcentral lists this ribosomal RNA (253 nucleotides) under uncultured bacterium. Its description in RNAcentral is "partial 16S ribosomal RNA". It matches the Rfam family "Bacterial small subunit ribosomal RNA", at positions 524 to 776 of the family's 1533-position model. The record is from RNAcentral.
UACGUAGGGGGCAAGCGUUGUCCGGAAUCAUUGGGCGUAAAGAGCGUGUAGGCGGCCAGAUAAGUCCGCUGUGAAAACUCGAGGCUCAACUUCGAGCUGUCGGUGGAAACUAUUUGGCUAGAGUCCGGAAGAGGAGAGUGGAAUUCCUGGUGUAGCGGCGAAAUGCGCAGAUAUCAGGAGGAACACCGGUGGCGAAGGCGGGAUCCUGGGCCAGUACUGACGCUGAGGAGCGAAAGCGUGGGGAGCAAACAGG